This 327-nucleotide ribosomal RNA is filed under the name uncultured eukaryote. Its description in RNAcentral is "partial 18S ribosomal RNA". It matches the Rfam family "Eukaryotic small subunit ribosomal RNA", at positions 1470 to 1796 of the family's 1831-position model. The record is from RNAcentral.
CCCUUAGAUGUUCUGGGCCGCACGCGCGCUACACUGACGAAUGCAACGAGCUUAUAACCUUGGCCGAAAGGUCUGGGUAAUCUCCAAAUUUCGUCGUGAUGGGGAUAGAUUAUUGCAAUUAUUAAUCUUCAACGGGGAAUGCCUAGUAAGCGCAAGGCAUCAGCUUGCGUUGAUUACGUCCCUGCCCUUUGUACACACCGCCCGUCGCUCCUACCGAUUGAAUGGUCCGGUGAAGCGCUCGGACCGCGGCCUCUUGACGGUUCGCUGUCGAUUGGCUGUGGGAAGUUCGUUAAACCUUAUCAUUUAGAGGAAGGAGAAGUCGUAACA